CCUAUGGGCGGCUGCAGUGGGGAAUUUUGGACAAUGGGCGCAAGCCUGAUCCAGCCAUGCCGCGUGCAGGAUGAAGGCCCUCGGGUUGUAAACUGCUUUUGUACGGAACGAAAAGCCUCUCUCGAAUAAAGAGGGGUGAUGACGGUACCGUAACAAUAAGCACCGGCUAACUACGUGCCAGCAGCCGCGGUAAUACGUAGGGUGCGAGCGUGAAUCGGAAUUGCGCGGGCGAAAUUGCAAGCAGGUGGUGAAAUCCCCGGGCUCAACCUGGGAACGGCCAGUGUGACUGCAAGGCUGGAGUACGGCAGAGGGGGAUGGAAUUCCGCGUGUAGCAGUGAAAUGCGUAGAUAUGCGGAGGAACACCGAUGGCGAAGGCAGUCCCCUGGGCCUGUACUGACGCUCAUGCACGAAAGCGUGGGGAGCAAACAGGAUUAGAUACCCGAGUAGUC
This 449-nucleotide ribosomal RNA is filed under the name uncultured bacterium. RNAcentral's name for it is "partial 16S ribosomal RNA". It matches the Rfam family "Bacterial small subunit ribosomal RNA", at positions 338 to 795 of the family's 1533-position model. The record is from RNAcentral.